Molecule: RNA transcript, 1655 nt
Organism: Trifolium pratense (red clover)
Lineage: Eukaryota; Viridiplantae; Streptophyta; Magnoliopsida; Fabales; Fabaceae
Exons: 5
Source: RefSeq, a predicted model, not a curated record
AGUCAAUUCAUUUCACAUAAACCCGCUAACUACUCUACACUCUGGCGGCAAUGGAAAAACAAAAAACUCUCAAAAAUGAAGAAAGCCCUAAGCAUACAGCAGAACCACGGCCAACGACGGAACCGCAACUCACAAUCGCUGCAUCAUUCGGUGAAAACAAUACCUUGGAUUAUGGAAUGUGAUCCAAAAGCAGAGAGGAUCAAACCCGCAGUUGUGGUUAUCGGGAACAGAUGCAAAAGCUUGUUUCAACUAGAGGUAGAUAAGUGUUCUAUGGGUUUAUCACCAAGUGGUAGUUUUUGUUACAAACUGCAUUGCCUAUAUUUAAUUUUGGCGACGAGGAACUAUUGGGUUUAUCACCUAGUGCCUGUUCUUUUCAAUGACACUAUCAGAGCCAAUAUUGCAUACGGAAAAGGAGAUGUAUCAGAGGCCGAGAUUAUAGCUGCAGCAUAAUCGGCAAAUUCUCACAAGUUUUUUAGUAGUUUGCAGAAGAACUGAUGUAUCCAUGGGACACACAUUGAUGACUCUUUACAGGAAAUGCAAAAAAAGUCUGCCAAAAAAUCGUGUCAAACACCUGUACCCAACUUUGGUGAAUUUCUGAUUCUUGGUGCCAUUCUAUUCAUAGCUUGAAAUUGCAUGACUUGCAAAUUUUGAAUAUAUAAACUCGGUGUCAUCAGAGCUUCUUUCCUCAAAAUUUGAUUGAUCAAGUCGAGGCUCCAUUGCUUUUGUUGAAUGCUGCUUUUGAUGCAUGACAGAUAGAUUAUAGCUCCUGCACCAAUAUCAGCAGCAGCAAAAAAAGGCUAAAGACCGCACGAAGAUAUCAAUUUUCUAAGAUCAUUGGAAGAGGUUAAAUCAUUGGAAGGAAUCUGGUGAGGGAUGAUGCCAGGCUAAGAAAACAUUCUGAUCUUGCGCGUUUGGAAAAUGUGCAUCAAGAGUAUUUAUAAAGGCUGGAUUGAUAAUAGAAUUUGUCCCAAAUCCAUUGCAAUUCUGCUGCUGGUUUAUAGAAGCUGAUGAACUUGUUUCUUCCUCAGAAUCAGUUUGAUAAAACUUAACUGGAACUGCAUUAGGCUGGUGAGGAAAAUUGUUGGGCUGAUGAGUAAAAUUUGUUGGCAUGAAAUUAUUUGGAACAACAUGAAGAGUAGAAGCAUCAUAAGCUUCAAAAUCAAACUCUGAAGAUUCAUUUGAAAUUUGCUGAUGAGUAAAAUUUGUUGGCAUGGGAACAACAUGAAGAGUAGAAGCAUCAUAAGCUUCAAAAUCAAACUCUGAAGAUUCAUUUGAAAUUUGCUGAUGAGUAAAAUUUGUUGGCAUGGGAACAACAUGAAGAGUAGAAACAUCAUAAGCUUCAAAAUCAAACUCUGAAGAUUCAUUUGAAAUUUUUGAUUCUGUAGUAGCUUCUGCAGUUUUGUUCUGUUUUCUUUGUUUCUUUGUCUCUCCUCCUCUCUUCAAUUUGUUUCUAUAUUUCUGCAUAUCAAACAUAUGUAACAAUAUAAAUUAUAGAUCAAAGACACAAAUUAAAUGCAACUGUAUUAAAUAGUGUACAAUUUAUUGUUUUGAUUUUAUAAUUAAUGGAAACAAGAUUGUAAUCUAUGUUUCAGAAUAAGAGUUGAAGACACUGGUCCAUAAAUUUAAAGGGUUAGUGCAAUGGGAACUAUGUAACA